UUCCAGACUCCUACGGGAGGCAGCAGUGGGGAAUAUUGCACAAUGGGGGAAACCCUGAUGCAGCGACGCCGCGUGAGUGAAGAAGUAUUUCGGUAUGUAAAGCUCUAUCAGCAGGGAAGAAAAUGACGGUACCUGACUAAGAAGCCCCGGCUAACUACGUGCCAGCAGCCGCGGUAAUACGUAGGGGGCAAGCGUUAUCCGGAUUUACUGGGUGUAAAGGGAGCGUAGACGGCGCUGCAAGUCCGGAGUGAAAGCCCAUGGCUUAACCAUGGUACUGCUCUGGAAACUGUGGAGCUUGAGUGCGGGAGGGGCAGGCGGAAUUCCUAGUGUAGCGGUGAAAUGCGUAGAUAUUAGGAGGAACACCGGCGGCGAAGGCGGCCUGCUGGACCGUAACUGACGUUGAGGCUCGAAAGCGUGGGGAGCAAACAGGAUUAGAUACCCCCGUAU
This 447-nucleotide ribosomal RNA is filed under the name uncultured bacterium. Its description in RNAcentral is "bacterial SSU rRNA". It matches the Rfam family "Bacterial small subunit ribosomal RNA", at positions 329 to 793 of the family's 1533-position model. The record is from RNAcentral.